RNAcentral lists this ribosomal RNA (253 nucleotides) under uncultured bacterium. RNAcentral describes it as "partial 16S ribosomal RNA". It matches the Rfam family "Bacterial small subunit ribosomal RNA", at positions 524 to 776 of the family's 1533-position model. The record is from RNAcentral.
UACGGAGGAUCCAAGCGUUAUCCGGAAUCAUUGGGUUUAAAGGGUCCGUAGGCGGCUCAGUAAGUCAGUGGUGAAAUCUCCCGGCUCAACCGGGAAAUGGCCAUUGAUACUGUUGGGCUUGAAUUAUUAGGAAGUAACUAGAAUAUGUAGUGUAGCGGUGAAAUGCUUAGAGAUUACAUGGAAUACCAAUUGCGAAGGCAGGUUACUAACAAUAUAUUGACGCUGAUGGACGAAAGCGUGGGGAGCGAACAGG